RNAcentral lists this long non-coding RNA (429 nucleotides) under Cavia porcellus (domestic guinea pig). Its description in RNAcentral is "lncRNA (ENSCPOG00000036177.1)". The record is from RNAcentral. Lineage: Eukaryota; Metazoa; Chordata; Mammalia; Rodentia; Caviidae.
AGGGAGGGAAAGGGGGUGAGUGACUGUGCGCUGGAUAAGUAGAAACUCUGGGUGUCAGGAGGCCUCAGGGGUGGGAGAACAGAAGACCAGACAGGAGGAGGCCAGCCUGAAGAUUGGGGUUUGUUAGGACAUUUUAAAUGCAGCAGUGCUGAGGUCUUUAGCUCUAGUUACUUACCAUCUUAUGGCACAGGGAGUGAUGCUAGAGCUGUGCCUUGUUGUCUUCUGUGAGACCACCCUCGGGUGACACUGUCCUUUCAGCUGCUGAUGCUUCGCAUUCCAGGCUUAAAGGAAGGACACUUGUGUGGAUUAAAAGUAAACCAGUGACUCUCACAGCUGAAAUUCUUGGAAGCUACAAGGUACUGAAAAUUGUGGAGGUGAGUGCAGCAGACUGUGUCAUUGCCCUCAGAUUGUAACUUUUGUGCUAUAAGG